This 253-nucleotide ribosomal RNA is filed under the name uncultured bacterium. RNAcentral's name for it is "partial 16S ribosomal RNA". It matches the Rfam family "Bacterial small subunit ribosomal RNA", at positions 524 to 776 of the family's 1533-position model. The record is from RNAcentral.
CACGUAGGGCGCAAGCGUUGUCCGGAAUUAUUGGGCGUAAAGAGCUCGUAGGUGGUUUGUUACGUCCGCUGUGAAAUCCUAGGGCUUAACCCUGGGCUUGCAGUGGAUACGGGCAGACUAGAGGUAGGUAGGGGAGAAUGGAAUUCCCGGUGUAGCGGUGAAAUGCGCAGAUAUCGGGAGGAACACCGGUGGCGAAGGCGGUUCUCUGGGCCUUACCUGACGCUGAGGAGCGAAAGCGUGGGGAGCGAACAGG